AACGAACGCUGGCGGCAGGCCUAACACAUGCAAGUCGAGCGAGCAUUUCGGUGCUAGCGGCGGACGGGUGAGUAACGCGUGGGGACGUGCCCUUUUCUGCGGAAUAGUCCUGGGAAACUGGGGGUAAUACCGCAUACGCCCUUUUGGGGAAAGAUUUAUCGGAGAAGGAUCGGCCCGCGUUGGAUUAGGUAGUUGGUGGGGUAAUGGCCCACCAAGCCGACGAUCCAUAGCUGGUUUGAGAGGAUGAUCAGCCACACUGGGACUGAGACACGGCCCAGACUCCUACGGGAGGCAGCAGUGGGGAAUCUUAGACAAUGGGGGCAACCCUGAUCUAGCCAUGCCGCGUGAGUGAUGAAGGCCUUAGGGUUGUAAAGCUCUUUCAGCUGGGAAGAUAAUGACGGUACCAGCAGAAGAAGCCCCGGCUAACUCCGUG
RNAcentral lists this ribosomal RNA (433 nucleotides) under uncultured bacterium. Its description in RNAcentral is "partial 16S ribosomal RNA". It matches the Rfam family "Bacterial small subunit ribosomal RNA", at positions 29 to 507 of the family's 1533-position model. The record is from RNAcentral.